Molecule: long non-coding RNA, 1816 nt
Organism: Cornus florida
Lineage: Eukaryota; Viridiplantae; Streptophyta; Magnoliopsida; Cornales; Cornaceae
Exons: 2
Source: RefSeq, a predicted model, not a curated record
UUGGAGGAUCCUUGUCCCCCAUGAAAAGGGCUGCUGAGCUUACCUCUAAGUUCUAAUAACAUCCAAACGAUGUCGUUCACCUUUUUUUUUUUCCUGAUCUGCCCUCGCGUUUUUUCACUCGCGCGCGAUUCUCUCACAGUAUCGAUCAAACUCCACCCAAAUUGCAAUGCGUCUCGGUUUUCUCAAACCCUAGCUUUCUCUUUGUUUACUGUUAUCUGCAUCAACAAGCUACUGUCCCUCAAAUCUCCGUUGCGUUGGUUUCUUACCCUGAGUCUCUGAUCAAGCUGGUUGGCAUUGUUGUUGGUGUCAUGAACUACCACGAGAACAAGUUGGUUGUUGCCGUCAUUGUAGGACCAAUGGGCUAUUCCAGCCGGCAAGGCAAUGAUAUCUCCUUGGCGGAUACGUCGGACCUUUUGGUGCUGGUCCCUUGACCUCUGAGAUGUUCUUCCUUCCUGAGAUUGCUGGAAAGAUUGGUAGGUUUCUGGGCAGCCAGGAAUCAUGGUGCCGAGUAAACCUUGACCUAUUCAUAUAUAGGUAACAAUAAAUGUCAAGGAUAUAGAAUUCAUAUUAAAUGUCAAGAAUAUGUGAUUAAGGGCUUGCCUUGAAGAACAUAGACUAGCAUGGGAGCAUUGUUGAAGGACGGCAAGAGUAAGCCUCUUGGCUCAAUAAGAUGACGAGUUGCUGCCACGCCGGCACACUGCAACUGGUCAUUGUUCUGGUCCCAUUCUUCCGAAACGCCUGCCUCGUGCUGGAUGCGGCGAGCUGGUUCCAGCGGAUUGAGGUUUUGGACACGGCAUUCGUUCUGUUGUUGUUGCUGUGAUCGAGAAGAUUGGCGUUGGGCUAGGCUGUCGUGGCCUAGAAGGAGAAGGCAGAGAAUGAUGGAGAGCAAAGAAGAGUUGGCCAUGGACAUGUAUGUACAAAUUAAGAAGCGUGUCUUAAUUUGUGGUUUGAUGAUGGCGAGACUGUUGUCUGUGGAGGGAAUUUAUAGGGAAAGAAAAUGAGGGUUAGGUUAUAACAGGUGUGAGGGGUUGUCUGUCACAAUGUCAUCUCUGCAUGGUUUUUGAACUGAAUGUGAUACGCGGCAAUUUGGUUAAUCAGGUGGCAAUUUCUGCAGGAGCUUUCGUCUUUGUUAAUAUUGCAUGAGAAGUGGUGUUGCCGCGUAGCAGAAGAAGAAUACAAGGAAGACCUGGUGGUGUUGGUAAUGUCUGAUAAGAGUGAUAGUUACACAUGAAUGCAACAAGACUAACACAUUUACCCACACGACGACAAGAUAAGUAAUGUACCCAUAUCAGCCCAUGGGUUUUUGCAUUUGCUUAAUGGGGUGCCUUUUGGUGGCUUCGGCUGCAUUUUACCAAUAUACUUUGCUUGAAUGUAAUAUAUUUGUGUCUACUAACUUAGAAGUAUUCGAAUCUGAUAAUCUAUUAGAUUAAUAGAUUGGAUUUGCAUUAUGAUAAAUCAGAUCUGACCAGAUAUAGUACAUAAUAUCUUAUUAUGUAUUUUUAAUUUUUGUAAUGUUGAUAAAUAAAUGAAUCUAAAAAUGUCAUGCAUGUGAUAAAUGUAGAUCAAGUAACUUGGAUUUGGAUUGGUUAAUGAAUAAUUGCAGCUUACCGGAAUUGGAACAAAUUCUGCAAAAUCCCGACCAAUGUCCGAUUUGUUGACAUGCAUGUCUACCAACAAGCUUCACAAUCAGGAAAAAAAUAAUAAUAAAUAAAAAAACAAGCUUAACAAUUGUAGUAAAUGAAAUAUUUAUAAAAGAAAAAAAGAAAGAAAAGAGGUGAUCUGCGUGUGUGGGAUAUUAUAUAUAUAUAUAUAUAUA